RNAcentral lists this ribosomal RNA (460 nucleotides) under uncultured Bacteroidota bacterium. RNAcentral's name for it is "bacterial SSU rRNA". It matches the Rfam family "Bacterial small subunit ribosomal RNA", at positions 438 to 896 of the family's 1533-position model. Lineage: Bacteria; Pseudomonadati; Bacteroidota. The record is from RNAcentral.
GUGUGAGAAGAACACCCUCUUUUGGGAGGGCUUGACGGUAUCACACGAUAAGCACCGGCUAACUCCGUGCCAGCAGCCGCGGUAAUACGGAGGGUGCAAGCGUUGUCUGGGAAUCACUGGGUGUAAAGGGUGUGUAGGCGGGACUGUAAGUCAGAGGUGAAAGCCCACGGCUCAACCGUGGAAUUGCCUUUGAUACUGCAGUUUUUGAAUCCUGGAGAGGUCGCUAGAAUCCGUGGUGUAGCGGUGAAAUGCGUAGAUAUCACGAGGAAUACCAGAGGCGUAGGCGGGUGACUGGACAGGUAUUGACGCUGAGGCACGAAAGCGUGGGGAGCAAACAGGAUUAGAUACCCUGGUAGUCCACGCUGUAAACGAUGGAUGCUCGGUGUUGCUUGCCUUUGUGCGAGCAGCGCCUAAGCUAACGCGUUAAGCAUCCCACCUGGGGAGUACGCUCGCAAGAGUG